This 492-nucleotide ribosomal RNA is filed under the name uncultured bacterium. Its description in RNAcentral is "partial 16S ribosomal RNA". It matches the Rfam family "Bacterial small subunit ribosomal RNA", at positions 30 to 507 of the family's 1533-position model. The record is from RNAcentral.
AUUGAACGCUGGCGGCAUGCUUUACACAUGCAAGUCGAACGGUAACAGGCCUUCGGGUGCUGACGAGUGGCGGACGGGUGCGUAAUGCAUCGGAACGUGCCCAGAGGUGGGGGAUAACGCAGCGCAAGCUGUGCUGAUACCGCAUGUGAUCUGAGGUUGAAAGCGGGGGACCACGCAGCAAUGUUUGGCCUCUCGCCUCUGGAGCGGCCGAUGUCGGAUUAGGUAGUUGGUGGGGUAAAGGCCUACCAAGCCGACGAUCUGUAGCUGGUCUGAGAGGACGACCAGCCACACUGGGACUGAGACACGGCCCAGACUCCUACGGGAGGCAGCAGUGGGGAAUUUUGCACAAUGGGCGAAAGCCUGAUCGAGCAAUGCCGCGUGCGUGAAGAAGGCCUUCGGGUUGUAAACCGCUUUUGUACGGAACGAAAAAGCUCUGGCUAAUACCUGGGGCUGAUGACGGUACCGAAAGAAUAAGCACCGGCUAACUACGUG